RNAcentral lists this ribosomal RNA (134 nucleotides) under uncultured bacterium. RNAcentral describes it as "partial 16S ribosomal RNA". The record is from RNAcentral.
GCGACGCCGCGUGAGUGUGAAGGAUUUCGGGAUGUAAAGCUCUUUCUCAGGGAAGAAAAUGACGGUACCUGACUAGGAAGCGCCGGCUAACUACCUGCCCGCCGCCCCGUAACGUGCCAAGCCGCCGCGGUAAU